RNAcentral lists this ribosomal RNA (423 nucleotides) under Triticum aestivum (bread wheat). RNAcentral's name for it is "partial small subunit ribosomal RNA". The record is from RNAcentral. Lineage: Eukaryota; Viridiplantae; Streptophyta; Magnoliopsida; Poales; Poaceae.
AUGAAUCAGUAUGGCAUCUACGUCUACAAUCAGAAGUUGUAUGUAAAAUUUGGACAUACCAUUUGCAGUGGUGCUGAAGCUUUCCUGGCAGAUUUGACAAUUGGCCUCACCAAUCAGAUUCUUCAGAUCGCUGAAGGAAGAAAGAAAAGGCCAGUCACAAUGUUGAAUGGGCAGCCAUUCCAAAUUAAGAAGAGAACAGGUGAAGAUAGUACUAACAUCCGGCAUUCAACGCUGCUCCCAUGGUUGCAGAAUGGGCAGGAAAAGACGGUAUCGAGCUUGUCCAUCCGCUUCCUAGGGGGUGGCUUAGCGGCCGCCUUCCUCUUCCCCAUGGUUCGGCUUCUGUCCUUCCUUCAAAAUCUACAAAGAGCAGCAGUUAGAAUCUACUGUAUCUAUGAAAUGACGAUGAGACGUUUAAAACACUAA